AUUAGACUACCCGUGGUACGUCCUAGCAAGUAAACGAUGUGCACUAGAGUUUGGGUUAUAUCGACAUAAUCUGAGUCGUAGCUAACGCGUUAAGUGCACCGCCGUGGGGAGUACGACCGCAGGUUGAACUCAAAGAUUGACGGGGACCCGCACAAGCGGUGGAGCAUGUGGUUUAAUUCGACGCAACGCGAAGAACCUUACCCAGACUUGACAUGUAUUGGAUCGUUCAUGAAAGUGAAUUUUCCUUCGGGACUGAUACACAGGUGUUGCACGGCU
This 276-nucleotide ribosomal RNA is filed under the name uncultured bacterium. Its description in RNAcentral is "partial 16S ribosomal RNA". It matches the Rfam family "Bacterial small subunit ribosomal RNA", at positions 777 to 1050 of the family's 1533-position model. The record is from RNAcentral.